GACGAACGCUGGCGGCGUGCUUAACACAUGCAAGUCGAGCGGUAAGGCCCUUUUGGGGGUACACGAGCGGCGAACGGGUGAGUAACACGUGGGUGACCUGCCCUCAGCUCUGGGAUAAGCCUGGGAAACUGGGUCUAAUACUGGAUAUGACCUUUUCCUCGCAUGGGGUUGGGUGGAAAGUUUUUCGGCGUGGGGAUGGGCCCGCGGCCUAUCAGCUUGUUGGUGGGGUGAUGGCCUACCAAGGCGACGACGGGUAGCCGGCCUGAGAGGGCGACCGGCCACACUGGGACUGAGACACGGCCCAGACUCCUACGGGAGGCAGCAGCGGGGAAUAUUGCGCAAUGGGCGGAAGCCUGACGCAGCGACGCCGCGU
This 373-nucleotide ribosomal RNA is filed under the name uncultured bacterium. RNAcentral describes it as "bacterial SSU rRNA". It matches the Rfam family "Bacterial small subunit ribosomal RNA", at positions 28 to 402 of the family's 1533-position model. The record is from RNAcentral.